GACGAACGCUGGCGGCGUGCUUAACACAUGCAAGUCGAACGGAAAGGCCCUGCUUUUGUUGGUUUCUCGAGUGGCGAACGGGUGAGUAACACGUGAGUAACCUGCCCUUGACUUUGUGAUAACUUCAGGAAACUGGGGCUCAUACCGGAUAUGAUCUCCUGCUGCAUGGUGGGGGUUGGAAAGUUUCGGCGGUUGGGGAUGGACUCGCGGCUUAUCAGCUUGUUUGUGUGGUAGUGGCUGACCAAGCCUUUGACGGGUAGCCGGCCUGAGAGGGUGACCGGCGACAAUGCGACUGAGAGACGGCCCAGAAGCCUACGGGAGGCAGAAGUGGGGAAUAUGGCAGAAUGGGCGGAAGCCUGAUGCAGAAACGCUGGGUGCGGGAUGACGGGCUUCGAGUUGUAAACAGAUGUGGAAGGUGACGAAGCGGGAGUGACGGUAAUGGGUAAAGAAGCAACGGCUAACUACGUG
RNAcentral lists this ribosomal RNA (468 nucleotides) under uncultured bacterium. Its description in RNAcentral is "partial 16S ribosomal RNA". It matches the Rfam family "Bacterial small subunit ribosomal RNA", at positions 28 to 507 of the family's 1533-position model. The record is from RNAcentral.